AUGACGUCAAGUCCUCAUGGCCUUUAUGACCAGGGCUACACACGUACUACAAUGGCAGGUACAAAGGGCAGCCACUUAGCGAUAAGGCGCGAAUCCCGUAAAACCUGUCUCAGUCCGGAUUGGAGUCUGCAACUCGACUCCAUGAAGUUGGAAUCGCUAGUAAUCGCAGAUCAGCACGCUGCGGUGAAUACCGGUUCCCGGGCCUU
Molecule: ribosomal RNA, 206 nt
Filed under: uncultured Desulfocapsa sp.
Lineage: Bacteria; Pseudomonadati; Thermodesulfobacteriota; Desulfobulbia; Desulfobulbales; Desulfocapsaceae
Description: partial 16S ribosomal RNA
Rfam family: Bacterial small subunit ribosomal RNA
Source: RNAcentral